RNAcentral lists this ribosomal RNA (433 nucleotides) under uncultured bacterium. Its description in RNAcentral is "partial 16S ribosomal RNA". It matches the Rfam family "Bacterial small subunit ribosomal RNA", at positions 29 to 507 of the family's 1533-position model. The record is from RNAcentral.
AAUGAACGCUGGCGGCAUGCCUAACACAUGCAAGUCGAACGAAGGCUUCGGCCUUAGUGGCGCACGGGUGCGUAACGCGUGGGAAUCUGCCCUUGGGUUCGGAAUAACAGUUAGAAAUGACUGCUAAUACCGGAUGAUGUCGUAAGACCAAAGAUUUAUCGCCCAAGGAUGAGCCCGCGUAGGAUUAGCUAGUUGGUGGGGUAAAGGCCUACCAAGGCGACGAUCCUUAGCUGGUCUGAGAGGAUGAUCAGCCACACUGGGACUGAGACACGGCCCAGACUCCUACGGGAGGCAGCAGUGGGGAAUAUUGAACAAUGGGCGAAAGCCUGAUCCAGCAAUGCCGCGUGAGUGAUGAAGGCCUUAGGGUUGUAAAGCUCUUUUACCCGGGAUGAUAAUGACAGUACCGGGAGAAUAAGCUCCGGCUAACUUCGUG